Molecule: transfer-messenger RNA, 363 nt
Filed under: Escherichia coli
Lineage: Bacteria; Pseudomonadati; Pseudomonadota; Gammaproteobacteria; Enterobacterales; Enterobacteriaceae
Description: Standard tmRNA
Rfam family: transfer-messenger RNA
About the family: Bacterial tmRNA, also known as 10Sa RNA or SsrA, is named for its dual tRNA and mRNA-like properties. Its role is to liberate the mRNA from a stalled ribosome. To accomplish this part of the tmRNA is used as a reading frame that ends in a translation stop signal.
Source: RNAcentral
GGGGCUGAUUCUGGAUUCGACGGGAUUUGCGAAACCCAAGGUGCAUGCCGAGGGGCGGUUGGCCUCGUAAAAAGCCGCAAAAAAUAGUCGCAAACGACGAAAACUACGCUUUAGCAGCUUAAUAACCUGCUUAGAGCCCUCUCUCCCUAGCCUCCGCUCUUAGGACGGGGAUCAAGAGAGGUCAAACCCAAAAGAGAUCGCGUGGAAGCCCUGCCUGGGAUUGAAGCGUUAGAACUUAAUCAGGCUAGUUUGUUAGUGGCGUGUCCGUCCGCAGCUGGCAAGCGAAUGUAAAGACUGACUAAGCAUGUAGUACCGAGGAUGUAGGAAUUUCGGACGCGGGUUCAACUCCCGCCAGCUCCACCA